RNAcentral lists this transfer RNA (76 nucleotides) under Candidatus Merdousia gallistercoris. RNAcentral's name for it is "tRNA-Phe". It matches the Rfam family "tRNA". From Rfam's summary of the family: Transfer RNA (tRNA) molecules are approximately 80 nucleotides in length. Their secondary structure includes four short double-helical elements and three loops (D, anti-codon, and T loops). Lineage: Bacteria; Pseudomonadati; Verrucomicrobiota; Opitutia; Opitutales; Intestinicryptomonadaceae. The record is from RNAcentral.
GGCCGGAUAGCUCAGUUGGUAGAGCGGAGGACUGAAAAUCCUUGUGUCCCUGGUUCGAUUCCUGGUCCGGCCACCA